Molecule: small RNA, 27 nt
Filed under: Bombyx mori (domestic silkworm)
Lineage: Eukaryota; Metazoa; Arthropoda; Insecta; Lepidoptera; Bombycidae
Description: ovarian small RNA-24016
Source: RNAcentral
UAUGUCGUUGUAGAUUGGCCAAUCAUA